Long non-coding RNA from Bombus pascuorum, 1621 nucleotides. RefSeq lists it as uncharacterized. The record is from RefSeq and is a predicted model, not a curated record. The transcript has 3 exons. NCBI's taxonomy places the organism in Eukaryota, Metazoa, Arthropoda, Insecta, Hymenoptera, Apidae.
UUUAAUAUAACCCGAUCUCGAUAUUGGCUAGAGAAAACCAUUUGAAAAUUGAGUCAUGAAAAAUCAAUAUGGAAGAUAACAAAGUUUUUGUGAGAUACGUAGAAAUGAGUUGAGUGUCUCUGUCUGAGCAUUCAUAGUAUGUCACGCGCGCGGAAUUUGAAGCUUUUUAUCUUCUAUGUUGAUUUUUGUAACUCAAUUUUUGGACGGUCUUUUCUAUACUUUCGACGAGUGUCAAGACCUAUUUGUAUUAAUGAUCGUGUUCGUGAUCAUUUCAUAAUUUUCCUUGACUCAAUUUCUAUUAGCCAGAGUACUACACUAGUCCCAAAAUUCGAAAUUUCUUGUAUUACCCACCAUAUAGAGGGUGCUGAUGUCGAAUAGUUGAAAUAAUUUCAACAAAGUAACACGCGGUGGAAAUAAUCCAGUAAAUUUUUUAUAAUUGUUAUAAUGCUUGGUAAGUAGGUAUACUUUAUCUAUGCAUAAACAAUCCUAUCUAUGGUUAAACAUCACUUUAGGGGACACAAAAUUAUAGCAUGUGGCACCUAUUGUCUUCACUAAAUACAAAUCGCUACAUAAUCGCAAUAUCCCUCAUCAUAGAAGUUCAGAACCUGUAUAUGUAUAUGACCGUGGUACAGUUUAUCCAAUGAAACGAGUGACAUUAAUCAGUAACCAAUACUUGGUAGCUACAGUAAUUAAGCUUUAUUUACAUUUACUACCUCGUCCCGUUGAGCAGAUUAUACAUUUCAAUUUUUUUAAUACUUAUAUAUCAUUUGUAUAAUAGAUAGAUUAUAUGUAUGUAUUGCUUAAGUUUGUUCUAAUUGAAUGUUUCUUUCGCGAAGGGGCUAGUAUCUAAUAAGCAACAAUAAGACAUAUUAUUUACAUUAUUGGUCACCUUGUUAUUAGUGAUGUAUUAAAUAGAAACACUUGAUAUGGAAUAAAAAAUUGCAUUACGUAAUUAUAAGUGUGGGAAAAUUUUAAAUUCAGAUGUUUAAAUAUCUCUAUGUGAGGCUAACCAAAACACGGAUAUAAAAUUAUUGUUGGAAAUGAAAUUAAUGGUAAUUUUGGAUCAAUUUGAAUUCCCUGUAUUUUCUGAUUGAAUUGUUAUGGACAAACAUUUAUAUUAUAUAAAUUUAUGUAUCAAAUUUUAUGCAUUUUUAUAUGCGUUGUUGGUGCAAGUGCGGAGUUAUGUAUGUAUAUCCGCACGACCGAUCUCCCAUUGUCAUGCCGACUGCUCAGAGGACAAUUCGUUUUUGAAUGCUUCUUCACAGCGGAAGGGUUAAAAUAAACUGAUUUUUAUGCACAGCAUUUUGUUUAUUGUGUGCCUGAUUCAUAGAUGAAGGUCAAGAAUUUCAUUUUUACAAAUAAAAAAUGUGUAUAAAACAAGUUGUUUUAAGAAGAUUAUUAUUAUAACCUUGUACGAAAGAAAAUACUUCCUAUUGUUAUAGCAAAAAUAAUUUAUCUAUAAAUUAUCUAGUAAAAUAUAUUAAAAGCAAGGUUUUUAUCUUCAGUGUAUAGAGCAAUGGAAAUUUCUGAAGAAGAAUUAUUUUCUUCACAUCAUUCGGUUGAUAAUUACUCAGAGCAAGUAAUUAACAUGUCAUUACCAUUACCAAAGCCAAAACCUAAA